GACGAACGCUGGCGGCGUGCUUAACACAUGCAAGUCGAACGGAAAGGCCCUGCUUGCAGGGUACUCGAGUGGCGACCGGGUGAGUAACACGUGGGUGAUCUGCCCUGCACUUCGGGAUAAGCCUGGGAAACUGGGUCUAAUACCGGAUAGGAGCCAUUUUUAGUGUGAUGGUUGGAAAGUUUUUUUCGGUGUAGGAUGAGCUCGCGGCCUAUCAGCUUGUUGGUGGGGUAAUGGCCUACCAAGGCGGCGACGGGUAGCCGGCCUGAGAGGGUGGACGGCCACAUUGGGACUGAGAUACGGCCCAGACUCCUACGGGAGGCAGCAGUGGGGAAUAUUGCACAAUGGGCGCAAGCCUGAUGCAGCGACGCCGCGUGGGGGAUGACGGCCUUCGGGUUGUAAACUCCUUUCGCUAGGGACGAAGCUUUUUGUGACGGUACCUAGAUAAGAAGCACCGGCUAACUACGUG
Molecule: ribosomal RNA, 466 nt
Filed under: uncultured bacterium
Lineage: Bacteria
Description: partial 16S ribosomal RNA
Rfam family: Bacterial small subunit ribosomal RNA
Source: RNAcentral